Molecule: long non-coding RNA, 382 nt
Filed under: Coturnix japonica (Japanese quail)
Lineage: Eukaryota; Metazoa; Chordata; Aves; Galliformes; Phasianidae
Description: lncRNA (ENSCJPG00005001723.1)
Source: RNAcentral
UCCAGACCACAGAAGUACAGCAUAUCGAAUUUGCUUUGACUUGCACAAGCUACAAAUCCUGCUGCUUUCAAGUAACUGCUGUGCUGUUGGCUGUGAAAGCAAGAGAACAGCUUCUGCAGAUGAAAGGCCAGCGAUGAUAGCACUGGAAUGUGACCUCGGACGUUUAUCAGAAUGACAUUGUAUGUCAGAUGAUACAGCAUCCUUAUUUUUCCAACCACUUUUGGCCUGGAAUCAGUUGAUUGAGGUCAGAAGGAAAGCUGGUUAUUGGUUUGAAUGACUAUGGGAUUGACUCUAGUACAAGCAACCCAGCUGGCCACUUAGCAGUGUGACAUCUUCUAAGUAGCUGACAGUUACCGGCGCAUGCAGAUGUUUUAGAUCCCCA